GUAAAGUUGGUUUUAUAUUCGCACAUUCGCACAUUCGCGUUAAAGAACUUUUUCAAUUAAAUAGUCAAUGAAGCAAUUUUUUUUCAGAUUCGAAGCAGCUACUUAAUAUUGACAACAAAGACUGUGAACUACAACAUUUUCUACAAUCGAUCAAAAUGGGUUUUGAAAGGAUGGGCCGACUGUUCCAAAGCAAGUUGGAUGGUCUUGUCUGGACCCUACAGAACACACUACAGCCCACGUCUUGCUGUUUUAUCCACCUCGGUUUUUCUGUUUUUAAGUGUAAUAAAGACUUUACAGUGUAACAGUGUUCUCCAGGUGCUGAAUAAAAAGAAUGGCCUAACAGUAUUUUAUGGUUUCCUGUUGUAUAGCAUCUUCAAUUAACAUUAAACUCUCACAAUAACACAA
Rhinichthys klamathensis goyatoka is the source of this 405-nucleotide long non-coding RNA. RefSeq lists it as uncharacterized. The record is from RefSeq and is a predicted model, not a curated record. Lineage: Eukaryota; Metazoa; Chordata; Actinopteri; Cypriniformes; Leuciscidae. The transcript is spliced from 2 exons.